Molecule: ribosomal RNA, 253 nt
Filed under: uncultured bacterium
Lineage: Bacteria
Description: partial 16S ribosomal RNA
Rfam family: Bacterial small subunit ribosomal RNA
Source: RNAcentral
UACGUAGGGUGCUAGCGUUGUUCGGAAUCAUUGGGCGUAAAGCGCGUGUAGGCGGUCAGGCAAGUCAGAUGUGAAAUCCCUGGGCUCAACCGAGGAAGUGCAUCCGAAACUGCUUGGCUAGAAGACGGUAGAGGAAGGUGGAAUUCCUAGUGUAGAGGUGAAAUUCGUAGAUAUUGGGUGGAACACCGGUGGCGAAAGCGGCCCCCUGGCCCGGCCCUGACGCUGAGGCGCGAAAGCGUGGGGAGCAAACAGG